This 739-nucleotide long non-coding RNA is filed under the name Felis catus (domestic cat). RNAcentral's name for it is "lncRNA (ENSFCAG00000045839.2)". Lineage: Eukaryota; Metazoa; Chordata; Mammalia; Carnivora; Felidae. The record is from RNAcentral.
GACUGGUAUGGAUUUUAACUUGAUAUUCAGAGAUGAAUGAACUUUCUUGUACCCUGAUAUGAAAUAAUAAAAACAUUUCAGAAUGCAUGUAAGAAAGCAGGGAAGGAGAAUAUAUCCAUAAUUAGAUGACAGGAGAACUAUUGAGAAGCUAUUGAAAACUGAAAAAAAUUGUGACCCAAACUUUAGGAGCAAAGGAGACUUUAGAUUUGGCCAGUGAGCCCUUUGUUGGGAAGACAGGCUAAGAGCUAAUCCUAAAUUUUUCUAACCUACCAUGUGAGCUAAUUGAAUAGAGGCAGUUCACAGAAUAGAAGCCAUUUAGGAGGUUCAGAGAAUAUAAAAAGCAGAGGUGACAUCAACUGUGUUUCUUCUAAUUUCUUACCCCUGGAAGCAGAAUUGUCUCAGGACCAGAGAGACCUUGAUUGGAUGUGGCCAGAAAUGGGUGCAAUGACAGUGACUCUUUCUGGACCUUCGCUUCAUGGCUGCUUAGGUUCUUUAGCAAACAGCAAAGAUUCUUCCUUAUGGGCCAUCCCUAUGGGGGCUAACCAAAGCCCAUCACCCAUGUUACUUUCUUCAUCAAUGGAAGGUGAGUGAACGUGACAGAACUUUAAGAUCCGUUUUAUGGUCAGCUGCACAGACUCUUUUUCCUCUAUUGUGAGGCCAACAAUAUCCCAGAUAAAGGCCACUCCUUAACUCAAAUCCCUGAGUGAAUGCAAUUUGGAGCAGGGAAACAACCUCCCUG